CUUGCGCAAUUCCACGCGAGACGCCCGGCUCCACGACGUUGCCGCGCCGCGCCGCACCGCGCCGUGCGGUGCCGCGCCGCGUCGCGCCGCGCCGUGUCGCGCCGCGCCGCGCCGCGCCGCGCCGUGCCGAAUCGAGCCGCGGCGGCCGCGCUGCCGCCGCGCCACCACCGCCGCGGCACGGCUCGGCCGCUCCUCUCUCAUGUCAUGUUGUCGUCUGCCACGCGUUUGAUAGCCGGCAUCUCCGUCCGUGCGUGCGUAUGUGACGCGCCCUUAUGCGUCUCCUCUCGCGAAUCUCGUCAACGAUUUCCGGUGAUACGCGUUUUCGCUUCAGCCGAACAAUUUUUACGUUCUGACUUCUAUCCUUUUUCUUCCGAACUUGUCGCGAACUGAGUUGAAUUAUUUCAUAAUAAUGCAUGAUGUCCGAACGGUUGGUUAACGCUCCGAUAUCGUUUCAUUAAUUUGCAAGUGAAUCUAACGUGAAUGAGGUGAACUAUUCGCGACAGUGUCUAAUGGAGACAGCGAAGACCUCGGUUGAUCCAAGUUCGAUCUUCGUGGGAGGCUGCGCAGCGCGUAAAGAUAAACAUCCAUACGCAAGAAUAACAUCUUCCAGAUCCCUCUAAUCACAACACUCGGAGGAUAACCCCGUACAUAAGCGAGGAACACGGGUAGGAAAACACUUUUGAUAGAGCCAUCGGAAAAAAUGAGAGAGCGGCCUGACAAUUCAUCAAGGGAGAUCAUUAUUCGUGGUAGCGAAGAAAACUAGACUCGCACAACCGGUGAACAAUUCGUAACUUUCGGAAAAUGAAGUAAACGCAACACGCUGGGAAAUAUAAAAAAAAAAGAGAGGAGAAGGAGCGAAGCAACCUUGAUCGGCUCUCACGUGCAGCAAAAUUUACAUGGACGUGGAGAUGGAGGGUCCCGGAGGUUCAAUUACGAGAUUGCCAAUAUGCAAGCGACAUGGCGGUGGCGGCCAUCGCUUCGGCUGAUGAGGCUAAUGGAUGGUUGAAACCUGAGAAGAACGGCAAAGAGGAAAAAGAGGCCAAGGGAGAGGCCCCUGACAGCCACUAAGUGCGCUCCGUCCUUCUCCACCCUUCCCCAAUCCCCCCUCCCUCUUCCAUUCCCGUCCCUUCGGUCCCAGCCCUGUUCUCUCUCGCCUCUGCAACACUCUGCCCGCUGCGGAUGCCCUUAUGUGAAACCUAAUCACUUUUAGCGCGUCACGGAUAUUUCGUAUUAUGUCUACAUUGCGUUCUCCGGUAUCGGCCGACUUUAUCAGCCGUCUCUCUACGGUUCGACCUUUCCCUCAUCGCCCCUCGUACCCAUCCUUCACGAAGUCGAGUCGCGCGUGCAGCAAGCCCUAAUCGGCUGAUGCGUUUCUCAAGGAUAGAUCGUGGAGUUUUUGAGAGAAGCGUCGAAAAAUGCUUAUAAACUCUUCAUUGUGUAAAUGUAAAAAUUUUUUUAAAUAAAAAAUAUAAAAUAUAAAACUCAUUAAAUAUUUCUGAAAUGCUUUUGUCUCUAGACUGUUAAAAACAAAGUAUUUAAUGAUACUUAUCUUUACCUAAUCUAUUCGUCUUUAGCUGCCUUUUUGAUUAAAAAUUUUUUUCAAACAAUUGUAUACAUCCAAAUGCUGUAUUUUUAUAUUUAGUUUUACUUAUCGCAAUGCUGUUAGUAAUGACAUUGUAAUAAAAGAUUACGCUUUAUAAUGCGUGAUUACAACUUAGAUAAUGCAGUUAUGACAGAGAAGUAUAAUUUGUAUUGGAUAAUGCAACAUCUUUCUUUCUAUGUUGUUAAAUCGAUACGUAUGUACGAAUGCUUGUAAUAAUGGCACAUUUGCGUGUUUGUACUAAUGUAUGCAAUACUUUAUUAAUACGUAUCGCAAUUUCGCAUCAUUAAAAUAAUAUGUGCGCAAAAGGAAAUUAAUUUUUCUAGGAAAUUUAUAAUGUGAUCUCAACUAUUAAUGAUUUGUUCUAUUGCCAAAAUUAGAUUAUCUAUGCAACAUAUCAUAAUGCAAAAAAAAUGUAUUCCUAACGAUUUAACAACUAUUGUGCAUUUUUUAGCAAGAAAUAAAAUUAAAAGAAAUUGAAAGAAAAUAUAGAAAAGUAAUAAAAAUAAUUUAAUUAUACAGUCGUAUUGUUGGAAUCAUUUUGGUUUUGCUAAUUAUUUCAAUUUUUUUGUAUUAUAAAGUAUAGAAUACUUUCAAAUAUUUUAUAAGUAUGUGAAUAUAAUACAAAUAAUGAUAUAAUAUUAAAAUAUUUCUUCAGUAACCGAAAAUAAGAAUAGAAAAUUACUAAAUAUUAUACAUUCAGCUGUAAUGUUAAAGCUAAGAUUAAUCUCUAUAAAUCUAGACAAUUAAAGACACACAAUAAAUUUUGUAAAAUAUGCAGAUUUAACAUAGUUCGCAAAUAUUUGUUAUAAGUUUCAUUAGUAGAAAGGUUACACAAAUUGAUAUAGGGUCUACAUAGAGUCACUGCACCAUUCAUUGAACAAUCACUAAUAAAUGACUGUUUAAGAAAAAAAUGUAACUGUUUAAACUGUUUAAGAAGAAUAUUAAAAUAAUAGAAAUAAAA
Molecule: long non-coding RNA, 2564 nt
Organism: Solenopsis invicta (red fire ant)
Lineage: Eukaryota; Metazoa; Arthropoda; Insecta; Hymenoptera; Formicidae
Exons: 3
Source: RefSeq, a predicted model, not a curated record